GACUCUGGGUUCGAUCCUCAGCACCACAUAUAAAUAAAUAAAAUAAAGGUGUUUAAAAAAAGAAAAGAAAAUUUCAAGGCAAUCCAGUGUUAAAAACCAUGUUUUGUUUUAUUUUUAAGUUUAUAAGCUGAUGCAAAAACUGAUAGAGCAGGGCAAAGUGUACUUACUCUUCCAUACUAAUAGACUAAGUUGUGCUAUAUACAUACAUGGAUAUCAAUAGGGAAUCCACCCCUAUGUAAAUCUAUAAAGUACCAAUUAAAAAAAAACUAAAAAUAAAUAUAAGGAAGACCAGUAGAAUAGAGGAAGGGAACAAAAGGGAAAACAGAGGAGACGGAAAGGGACUGUUCUGGAGACUUAAGUAGAGUAAAUCAUAGGCCAUGCUUGUAAUGAUUAUAUCAUACAAACCCUAAUGCUAUGUAUGACUGAAUUGCACUGGUAAAAAAUUAAUAAAUGAAUGAAUUAGAAGUGAAAUAUUUGUUAAAGGAUGGUAAAAUGCCAUAUGAAAUAGUGUGGUACAUUUAGAAACAAAUUUCUGCGUGUGUAGUCAAAGCAAAUUACAGAGGGGGCAUCUUAAAUCAGAGGAACAAAGAUAGUCAAUCAACAAAUGAUGCUAGGAUUAUUGACUUUAUAUGAAAAAGGUGAAGUGAAUCCCACCCCACACUACACACACACACACACACACACAAUCAAUCAAUCAAUCAAUUCUAGAUAUACUUAAAAUUUAAAUGCAAAAAUCAGAAUUCAUUUUGAGGGCAAAAUGUAGGAAAAAAAUCCCUGUAAAUCUGCAGUAAAGAAAGAAUUUCCCAAAUAACACAUAUAUAAGAAACUAUAAAGAAAAAAAUUUGACAAAUUUGACCAUAAAAAAAUUAAAAUCUGCACAACUAAAAGAAUCAUAAAGAAAAUUAAAAGAAUUUGUGUCAUGUGUAAAAUUAGUGACCAGAAUAUAAAAUGCACUUCUUUAGAGUAAGAUAAGACAAUCAAAAAAAAUUUAGAACACGUUUGGACAGGAAAUUCACAAAUGCAACAAUAUGAAUGAUCAAUAUACACAUGAAAAAAGUUCAAUCUCAUCAAAGUAAAUAUACAUUAGAACCAAAAGGUGUAAACUGAAAUCACAAUGUGGGAAAAUGUGAAUUAUCAUUUAGUGCUGACCUGUAUAAAAAUCGGCACUUGGAAGGCAUUUUGGCAUCAUUGUAUGUAAACAGGAUAGGGAUAUUUCCUAACCCCAUGACUCUUCUCCUAGAAGAUUUCUUGCAUUAUAUACUUAUGUUGUUAUGUACGUGAAUACUUAUUGCAACAUUGUUUUUGACAAAAAAAAAAAUGGAAAACAAAUAUUAUCAAGAAAAGAGGGCUAAGUAAAUUGUGGUUUGGUCAUGCAGUGCAAUGUCUUGCAG
RNAcentral lists this long non-coding RNA (1391 nucleotides) under Marmota monax (woodchuck). Lineage: Eukaryota; Metazoa; Chordata; Mammalia; Rodentia; Sciuridae. The record is from RNAcentral.